UCUUCUUGUGCUGCAAGGAGGCAGGGGGCUGGACCGCACCCCCUCCUGCUCCUCUGAACUUGGCUGGAGAGCAGAGGCUGAAAAAGAGACCUGGCUCCUGGCCCAACAAAGGAGACAACCCCCAGUCUGAUGCGGGAGGCACAGCCUCAAUCCUAAGGGGAGCCCAGACUUGGGAGGCAUGGCCUCUGCCUUCAGGGAAUUUUCAGUCUGAAAAAUCCUAGCUUUUCUGAGCCUCAUUUUGCCCAUCCAGGAAGUGGGGAUGAUAUUCUAGUUUGCUGUGAACAUUCCGGGAGUUACUAUUGCACAGGAGGACCAGGAUUAACAGGGGCAUCUUAUCCCAUGCAUAGCUACAGCGUUUAGGGUCAUGAUGAUGAUGAUGAUGAUGAUGAUGAUAAUGGGUAAUAUUUACUGAGCACUUACUGGGCCUCAAGCUGAAUGCUAAGUGCAUUCUUUACCCAAUGAUUUCAUUUAAUCCUUCUAAGAACUCUGGGAGGCAGCUACAAUUAUCACUGCUAUUUUGCAAGUGAAGAAAGAGGUUCAGAGAGGUGGAAUUGCCCAAGGUCACAGAGCCAGAGAGGAGGGAGUGGAGGUUUGGCUCUGCUCUUAGGUUUCACAGCAGGCCCUGUGAUUGGGUGAAGAUAGGGGCCUCAAGGUGAACCAAGUGCCGGGCCCGACACUUUUGAAUUUGGGCCUCACCCUGUGAGUCGGCAUCAGGGAGUUAUUCCUGUUUGACAGGAAAGGGUGCUGAGACUCGGAGUGUUGAAGUCAGUCUCCUAAGCAAGUCGGAAGGUCUUCUGAUUCCACGUGGCUAUUUCUGCUGGAGGCGGGUAAGUGUCUUCAGGUCUUUUCAGAACGUAAGCCCUCUCUGGUUCCCUUCCCUACCCCGGGUUGCUAGAACUCUGACUGAAGGUAGGUACAGGUAAGGAGAGGGUGCAGAUUCCCAAGGACUAACUCCCAAUAGCAACUCCAAUGUUAACAGUUGACAUGUGUUGAACCCUUGCUUUGUGGCAGGUGUGAUGCUUAUGUGUGUUUGUGCAGCCUCAGAAUCUUUCUUUUGUUUUGUUUUUCUUCAGGAAGAUUAGCCCUGAGCUAACUACUGCCAAUCCUCCUCUUUUUGCUGAGGAAGACUGGCCCUGAGCUAACAUCCAUGCCCAUCUUCCUCUACUUUAUAUGUGGGACGCCUACCACAGCAUGGAUUGCCAAGCAGUGCCAUGUCUGCACCCGGGAUCUGAACCGGCGAACCCGGGCCGCCCAAGCGGAACGUGCACACUUAACCACUGUGCCACUGGGCGGCCCCCUAGAAUCUUUCUUUCUUUCUUUUUUUAAAGAUUGGCACCUGAGCUAACAGCUGUUGCCAAUCGUCUUUUUUUCUUCUUUUUCUCCCCAAAUACCCCCAGUACGUAGUUGUAUAUUUUAGUUGUGGGUCCUUCUAGUGUGGCAUGUGGGAUGCCGCCUCAGCGUGGCCUGACGAGCAGUGCCAUGUCCGUGUCCAGGAUAUGAACUGGCAAAACCCCAGGCCACUGAAGCGGAGCAUGCAAACUUAACCUCUCGGCCAAAGGGCUGGCCCCUCAGAAUCUUUCUUAACACAGUGCUUCAGGCAGCUGCUGCUACCCAAUAUGCGUAGGCACAGGAGUUCAGUUCAAAUGAACCAAUAUUAGUGAGCACCUACCAUGAGCCAGGCACUGGCCUGGGCCCGAAGGAUGCAGGGGAGAACCAGGGCAAUAUCCGGGAGGCAGACUGAGAUGACUGUGAUAAUGUAGGGGAGUGGCUAGAUUGUGGGGACGCAGACACGGGGCCCCUAGUGUCAAACUGAGGGGCUAGGAAAAGUUUCUCAGAGGAAGUAAUGUUUAAGCUGAUGACUGAGAGUUCAGUAGGACUUAACCACGCAAAGAAGAAAGGAUGGCGGGGAAGAGUUCUAGGCUGGGAGAAGCCUACAACCACAGAGGCCUGAAGGAGGGAGGAGAACAACCUAUCUGAAGAGCUUAAGUAUGCUAAUGUGGCAGAGGGGGGAGUGGGAGGAGGGAGGGAGAGGGCAGGGCCUCGACUCAGGGCACCCCAGGCCAGGAUAAGAGGUCUAGUCUCGCCCUGCCCUGCGGCACGGGUGCCUACUGAUCCAGCUUCCCACCCCCCUUCCACAUGGAACUUUCCUGUUUGCAAGACCCUCUCACAUCAGUGAGAGUCGCCCAAUACCUCUGAGCAGGAGGUGGAGCAGGGGUCACCACGCCCAUUUUGCAGAUGAAGAAACUGAAUCUCAGAGGUUACAAGGUUGGGCCAUUUUACCUGGCUGGUAAAAAGGGCAUUGGGGCUGGCCCCCAGACCGCUUCAGGCUGGUACUGAGCCAAGGGCCAGCACUAUUUGCAGGACAUCAGUGUGGGUUCUGGGAUGAUGGUAUGAGGUAGGGUAGGAGCACAGUCUGGUUUGGGGAAGCCCUGGGGAUACAGAGGGAGGGUGGGGAUUCCUCCUCCCCAAAGCUCCCAGCUGGAGAGGGUUGCUGCCGCUUCUGUCUUGCAGUCUGUCCCCAGUGACUGGCUGGGGGUGAGUCAGCCUGGAUGAAGUCACCCACUUCCGCGCAGCCUGUGCCCCCUGACCUGGGAGGCGCCUGCCAGGGGCACCAGUCGAGCUGGAGGACGGGUUGGGCAGCUCUCCAGGUCGCUCUGUCACAGCUGAUUUAGGGGGGCUGGAGGUGUCCGGAGCCAUCCGAAGCAGCUGGGCGUCUGGGGCUGCGAGGCCCAUAAGUCAUGCCGCCACCCGCCAUUCCCUGCAGUGCUCCCCGAGAGGUCUGUGAUGAAUCGCCAGGGACUGGGCUCAUCAAAAUCAGUUUAUGCCAAAGGGAAAUUAAUUUCUGUCUCUCUGAGAUGGGGUGUGGGGAAGGGAAGGGCAGCUUCAGAGGCAGGCCUGUGACAGCACUGCAGGGAGGGGACGGGAUCCUACAGGGUGGCCGUCGUGGUCCCUGGCCUAGAGGCCCUGCCCAUUCUACAGAGAGGGUGACUGAGGCUCCAAAGGAGCCUCCUAAUUUGGGGACAAGAACACAGAUUUUGUUUUAUUGUCUCUUUCUCCGCUUCUUCCCUCCCUUCCUCCCUUCCCCACAGGUAAGUAUUUACUGACCACCUGCUGUGUGCCAGGCAUGGUUCUGCGGUGGAGACGCGAUGCUGCAUGAAACACUCACAGUCCUGCACUCAUGGAGCAUACAGUCUGGCUGGGUAAGACAGGCCGACUGGUAAUAGAGAAAUGGGAAAGUAUCAGACGGGGAAGAAUGCUAGGUGAGCAUUAAGAUCGGGUGAUGUGAUCAGGGAAGGCCUCUCUGAAGAGGAGACAGGUAAGCUGACACUUGAGAAGAUAACCCUUCAGCUGUGAGGCAGAUUUUCUGAAAAUCUAGCCCUGUUGGGCUGGGGCUGGGGCUGGGGUCGGAGGUGCACUUCAGGGAAACGAAUCGAAUCAGCAGAUGUAAAGGCAGG
Molecule: long non-coding RNA, 3455 nt
Organism: Equus caballus (horse)
Lineage: Eukaryota; Metazoa; Chordata; Mammalia; Perissodactyla; Equidae
Source: Ensembl